RNAcentral lists this unclassified non-coding RNA (330 nucleotides) under uncultured Acaulospora. RNAcentral describes it as "SSU rRNA". It matches the Rfam family "Eukaryotic small subunit ribosomal RNA", at positions 569 to 904 of the family's 1831-position model. The record is from RNAcentral. Lineage: Eukaryota; Fungi; Glomeromycota; Glomeromycetes; Diversisporales; Acaulosporaceae.
AGCAGCCGCGGUAAUUCCAGCUCCAAUAGCGUAUAUUAAAGUUGUUGCAGUUAAAAAGCUCGUAGUUGAAUCUCGGGAUCAAGUCGUCGGUCGUGCCUCGGUACGCACUGGUGACAUUGGUUUCUCCCUUCUGAAGAACCUUGAUGUCAUUAAUUUGGUGUCUUGGGGAAUCAGGACUGUUAACUUUGAAAAAUUAGAGUGUUUAAAGCAGGCUCACGCUUGAAUACAUUAGCAUGGAAUAAUGAAAUAGGACGUUUGAUUCUAUUUUGUUGGUUUCUAGGAUCGACGUAAUGAUUAAUAGGGAUAGUUGGGGGCAUUAGUAUUCAAUUG